UACGGGGGGGGCAAGCGUUGUUCGGAAUUACUGGGCGUAAAGGGCUCGUAGGCGGCCAACUAAGUCAGACGUGAAAUCCCUCGGCUUAACCGGGGAACUGCGUCUGAUACUGGAUGGCUUGAGUUCGGGAGAGGAAUGUGGAAUUCCAGGUGUAGCGGUGAAAUGCGUAGAUAUCUGGAGGAACACCGGUGGCGAAGGCGGCAUUCUGGACCGAAACUGACGCUGAGGCGCGAAAGCCAGGGGAGCAAACGGG
Molecule: ribosomal RNA, 253 nt
Filed under: uncultured bacterium
Lineage: Bacteria
Description: partial 16S ribosomal RNA
Rfam family: Bacterial small subunit ribosomal RNA
Source: RNAcentral